RNAcentral lists this ribosomal RNA (484 nucleotides) under uncultured bacterium. RNAcentral's name for it is "partial 16S ribosomal RNA". It matches the Rfam family "Bacterial small subunit ribosomal RNA", at positions 29 to 523 of the family's 1533-position model. The record is from RNAcentral.
AGUGAACGCUGGCGGCGUGCUUAACACAUGCAAGUCGAACGAGAACGGAAUAUAGCUUGCUAUAUUUGUCAGCUAAGUGGCGCACGGGUGAGUAAUGUAUAGAUAACCUGCCCUUAAGAAAGGAAUAACAGUUGGAAACGACUGCUAAUGCCCUAUAUGCCUUUAAUACAUAAGUAUGCAAGGGAAACGCUUUAGUGCUUAAGGAUGGGUCUGUAUGGUAUCAGCUUGUUGGUGAGGUAAAGGCUCACAAGGCUAUGACGCCUAACUGGUUUGAGGGGAUGAUCAGUCACACUGGAACUGAGACACGGUCCAGACUCCUACGGGAGGCAGCAGUGGGGAAUAUUGCACAAUGGACGAAAGUCUGAUGCAGCAACGCCGCGUGGAGGAUGACACAUUUCGGUGCGUAAACUCCUUUUAUAUAGGAAGAUAAUGACGGUACUAUAUGAAUAAGCACCGGCUAACUCCGUGCCAGCAGCCGCCGUAA